This is a long non-coding RNA of Mus musculus (house mouse), 254 nucleotides long. RefSeq annotates it as predicted gene, 53671. The record is from RefSeq and is a predicted model, not a curated record. The transcript is spliced from 2 exons. Lineage: Eukaryota; Metazoa; Chordata; Mammalia; Rodentia; Muridae.
GUAUUUACAGCCUGAAGACUACUCCCAUACAGAGACUGCUCCUACUGAGAUCAGCUAAACCUGCCUUCUUCAUCCAGGACCCCAAGCUCAUGAAGCAGUGCCACCUACAUUCAGAGAAGGUCUUCCUGCCUCAACUCAUUCUAGAACCUUCCUCACAGACAUUCCCUGGGCUUUGUCUUUGGGUGAUUCUGGAUCCAGUCACGUUAAUAGUCAAUAUUAACCACUACAGUGUAUAAAAUAAAAUGUGUUUAAAA